AUGGAAGAAGAAAUUGAUAAAACUGUGAGCUCACUGGAUGAAAAAGAUGAGGAGGAGAGCAAAGGACAAAAGGAGGAAGAGCGGAUUGAUCACCCAUGCCCACCAUCUAAUGAGAGUAACUCUUCAACUCAUACAUUGUUUAAUUUCCCUUCGUGCUUACCGAAGGAUGAUUGCUAUGAUGAUUGUUAUGAUUAUGUUGAUUCUCUUGAAAUACCCCUUUCUGAUGAUGCUUGCUAUGCUUGUGGCCAUAAUGCCAAUAUGAAUGAUGUUUAUGGAGAUGAACUUUUUAUAGUUCCUUAUGUUAAACAUGAAAUUGGUUCUAUUGCACCCACACAUGAUAGUCCUAUUAUCUUUUUGAAUUCUCCCGACUACACAAUAUUAGAGAAGUUUGUGCUUAUUAAGGAUUAUGUUGAUGGGUUGCAUUUUACCGUUGCACAUGAUGAUUUUGAUAGAUAUAAUACGAAUGUGCUUGCUGCUCCAACUUGCAAUUAUUAUAAGAGAGGAACCAUAUCUCCACCUCUCUAUGUUUCCAACACAAUAGAAUUGCAAGAAACUGCUUAUACUAUGCAUUGGCCUUUACUUGGUGUGCAUGAAUUGUUCUUUUAUGAUGCCGAUGCAUAG
RNAcentral lists this ribosomal RNA (621 nucleotides) under Triticum aestivum (bread wheat). RNAcentral's name for it is "partial small subunit ribosomal RNA". Lineage: Eukaryota; Viridiplantae; Streptophyta; Magnoliopsida; Poales; Poaceae. The record is from RNAcentral.